CGUAGGCAGCAAACGUUGUUCGGAAUUACUGGGCGUAAAGAGUGUGUAGGCGGUUUCGCAAGUUUGGUGUGAAAUCUCCCGGCUUAACUGGGAGGGUGCGCCGAAAACUGCGAGGCUAGAGUGCUGGAGAGGAAAGCGGAAUUCCUGGUGUAGCGGUGAAAUGCGUAGAUAUCAGGAGGAACACCGGUGGUGUAGACGGCUUUCUGGACAGCUACUGACGCUGAGACACGAAAGCGUGGGGAGCAA
Molecule: ribosomal RNA, 246 nt
Filed under: uncultured bacterium
Lineage: Bacteria
Description: partial 16S ribosomal RNA
Rfam family: Bacterial small subunit ribosomal RNA
Source: RNAcentral